This is a long non-coding RNA of Diceros bicornis minor, 3512 nucleotides long. RefSeq lists it as uncharacterized. Lineage: Eukaryota; Metazoa; Chordata; Mammalia; Perissodactyla; Rhinocerotidae. The transcript has 4 exons. The record is from RefSeq and is a predicted model, not a curated record.
ACAGCAGAAUAUCUGUGGUACAUCUUUCUAGAGCAUCAAUUUUACUACAAGAUUUGGAAGAAGCAAAGUUAAUUAUUUCCAAGGGAAAAGAAGUGAAUGCUAUUUAUCGAGCACUAUUAUGUGCCAGGCACUGUGCUAGAUACAUUCAAGAAGUCCUGUGCCAAAAAGGUUGAAGCUCAGCCUAGAGAAUACGCCAAAAAGGCUGCCAUGAAAUUUUCAAUCAAGGACCCUUCCAGAACUCUUCAAUGACCUCACCAAGCAUUCUGACUCUAAGAAUAAAGCUCAAGAGUCCCACCCUAAAUGAGAUCUCUGUCCCCUAUGCCUGGGGAUGGCCUGAGAGGACAGAAGCCCAGAGCAAACUGCAGCUCAGGGAAUCUUCUUUCCAUGGCACCCGAUCCCUGGGCAAGGAGACGCGACCCAGCAGCUCAGGAGUGGGUGCACUAAAGUGAGUUCCAAACAGCUCUGGUUAUCAAAGAGGCUGUUAGCAGAACUUUGUGACAUCAUCUGCAAAAAGAGGGAAAAAUGCAAAGGAGAAAUGGUAUUGAACCGUCUCCCCUCCUCCACAAACACAGAAGAAAGAAGAAGAGCAGGAGAGGGGCGAAGUGCCCCAGGGACAACAGUCCAGUCUCUGAAGUUUCGCCCAGGUCAGGGUGGAAGGACUGGCCUGCAGCCAGGGCCGACCUCUCCUCUUGGCUCCCAGGCAGCUCCAAGCCCUCCUUUAAGCCCAGCAGUUAUUUUGGAUGUGACGCUUUUGAAUGCCAUGGAGAAAGUCUACUGACCCUGGCCUAGAGCAGUGAUUCAACCUUCAGUGCAUCAGCAUCUGCCGCAGGGCUUUCACAACACCCUUGUCAGCCCCACCCAGAGCUGGGAGUGAUCCAGGCUGCCGAGUGCAAAGCCUCAGGCCACAACACACUGCCCAUGGCCAUCAGAGCAGCCUCCUGCACUAGAGCCUCGCUGGUCACGGUACUUCUCCCUCACCGGUCCGUGAGGAUUGCGUGGGUGAACAGGGGCAGCCCUGGGCCCGCACACGGCAGGCUCUCCAUGAGUACCCUGUCAGGCCUGGUCUGUGGUGAGGCCGCGGGGCAGCUCCUGUGGGUGGAGCAUCCUUUGGUCCUGGCAUGGGAUGGGAAUGGCCUACUCCAACCGUCAGCAUGACCUCCAGGCUCCAUAUCUUCUAUGUGGAAAACACGUCAAAGAGCAGGAGCAGUGACUUAGCUGGAGAGCAUCCCAGUAGGAGGAGAAGAAAAAUCGUGUUUCUUCCCCAGGAACACCGCAUGCCCGGGAGUAAGCCGCAUUCUUCUGUAACAGUGAUAUCAGGAAUGCCCGAAACUCCAGCACACUGUUAACGUGUUUGAAACCAGGUCUGUUUCUUGUUUUAUAUUUUCUCUCUGGAAAUUGCAAGGAGAUGGUCUUUAAAGAAAUAAACAAAAAUAGGCAGAAACAAAAACAAACAAACCUGGGUUUGGGGCCCAGGUGGGCCCACAGUGAAUUAUGUUGGCCAUCAUCCCUGGAAGAGCCUGCCGUCUUGAGGCAUCUAGGUCCACACCCCCGCUCAGUGCACGGGGGUCGGCAGCCAGGUACUUGCUCAGACCAGGGUGGACUCAGAGGGUCAACUCCUCCUCGCUGAAGCCCACUCCGUGCACAGCACCCCUGAGCCCCAUGCCCCUGUCCCACAAAAGGGUGGCCAGGCUCCGUCACAGCUCUCAGGAAUACAGGCUGUUCAGACCCAGGAAGGGUUCCCACUGCUCCCGCCCCUAGGGUCGCCACAUGUGCGUGGGGUGGGACUGCUGGCCACGGGCUGCUGUCCUCCCAUGGGGGCUGCCUUCUGCUGUCUCCAACCAAGGUGCCCACAGGGAAAAAUGGACCUGCAGGGCCAGCCCAGGCCACCGUGUGGUGCCUUCCUGCCCAGGCUAUGGCUGCCUUUGGAGCGGGAGACCCUCCUGCCUCAUCUGCCCCUGGCCCCUGCUGCUGUGCCAGCUCCCACAACUGCACGGUGCCAGGAACCCACCCGGUGAGGGGUCUUGCUGGAGCGGGCCCCCUGGGGCAGUGGUCAUUGCAGCAGAGGGACCCAGGGCCACAGGGCAGAGCCUGGCCAAGAGCAGGGACUUCCCACAUCCUAGCUACCAGGGAAGCUGCACGUGCCCCACACCAGCAGGGUGUGGUUCAGACAUGGUUGAAGGCAAGGAUUUCCUCCCACAAGCUCAGCCAGCACCCCUCCUUCCUGUGGUGGUCUCUGUGGGGCAGCCAUUUGCCUACUUAGCUGGAGGGCUGGUUAAGACACAAAUCACUGAGCGGGUCUGAGGGGGCUGGAGGACCUGCUUCUCUCACAUUUCUGUCAGGAGGGGCCUCCGAAAGCCUUGCUCUCAGGGUGCUCACCGAGGGCCUGGAGGUCCCCAGACUGACACGUCCAAGUGAUGCCACCAGAGCCACUGGAUCCUGGGCGUUGCUUCCCAAAGUGCCACUCCCAGCUUUGUGGAGCACACAGAGAGGCCGCCUCUCUGAGGGGCUGCUGGGCACUCUGCUCAGCCCACAGGCUGCUGGGAUGGAUUCACGGAGAGAGAGGGAGGUGGACGUACGUCCCUCCCAGACUUGGGCUGGGCCCUUUUCUCAAAGGACUGCUGUGCCUCCUCACAAUUCCAGAAGGAAGGGAUUCUGAUUCCAGUUUUACGAAUAAGGAAAUUGAAGCUCCAAGGUCCUGAUGCUGUUAUUAGCAGAGCAAUGAUUCAAACUGGGGUCUGCAUCAAAAUCCUCUGCCUUCCAUGCAGGUCCUCCACCUGCCUUUGCAGUCUGCCCCCACUCCCUGCCCUGCAUCCUCCACAUGGGAAGUCGCUGGUGGGACAGGAGUGACUGGCCCGAUGGGCCCCUGACAGGGGUGGAUUUUAAUUUAUUGACCUGUCUGCCAGGGACCCAGGAUAAGUUGAUUUGCUACUGCGUGUCACAGACCUGCUUCCUUUGAAGGCUCUUUGUGAGGAUGGGGUGCCAGUGAAGCCCCUUACCAUGGGAAUGUAUAGAAUUGUCCACAGAGGCCCAGAUUUUCUGCCAAGCUCUCAGUGUGCUGCAGGAACCGGGCAGGGUGGAUGGGAAGUGGGUCUCUUGCUGCCUCUCAGCUGACACAAGGCUAGGCCAGGUGCACUGCUGGUGGUCAGGGAGCCCCUGCCCCACACUUCAUGGAUACAAUGCCUCUGCAACUUGGGGAGGGUGGGGCUGGGCUGGAGAUGUGGAGUCCCAGACUUUGCAGGGUUAGAGAUUCAUGAGUUCUGGGGAUGAACUCUGAACUCACCAUCAGGUGAGGCCACGAGCCCAGGGGCCGUUCCCUCCCGCACAUAGUGCUCUCCCAACAUAACGGUCAAGAUGCAGAUGCUCAAGAGUGCCAGGGGGACAUGUGAUGGCUUUUGGUCAUUUCUCUUAUUACUAAAUGUAAUAAACAUCAGACUUUUGAAAUAAUUUCUAAUAGUCCUUCCGUAAAAUUAACAGCAGCUGCGUUUACUGAGCACUUGCCUGGUGAGGGCCCU